GGAUUGAACGCUGGCGGCAGGCCUAACACAUGCAAGUCGAGCGGCAGCACGGGUACUUGUACCUGGUGGCGAGCGGCGGACGGGUGAGUAAUGCCUAGGAAUCUGCCUGGUAGUGGGGGAUAACGCUCGGAAACGGACGCUAAUACCGCAUACGUCCUACGGGAGAAAGCAGGGGACCUUCGGGCCUUGCGCUAUCAGAUGAGCCUAGGUCGGAUUAGCUAGUUGGUGAGGUAAUGGCUCACCAAGGCGACGAUCCGUAACUGGUCUGAGAGGAUGAUCAGUCACACUGGAACUGAGACACGGCCAGACUCCUACGGGAGGCAGCAGUAGGGGAAUACUUGGACGACAGGUCGGGAACGAAC
Molecule: ribosomal RNA, 362 nt
Filed under: uncultured soil bacterium
Lineage: Bacteria
Description: bacterial SSU rRNA
Rfam family: Bacterial small subunit ribosomal RNA
Source: RNAcentral